Molecule: long non-coding RNA, 916 nt
Organism: Haliotis rufescens (red abalone)
Lineage: Eukaryota; Metazoa; Mollusca; Gastropoda; Lepetellida; Haliotidae
Exons: 2
Source: RefSeq, a predicted model, not a curated record
UAACGGACCUAACUAUUAAUAUGACGUCCAACACCCUGUUAUAUAUGGAUGACCGGGAAUCGGUCCAGAGAUGAAGUAUUGUGCUCGGGCGACCGAGUUGUACCAGAAAAAGUCGUCUUCUUUACAUGUAUAUGUGAAAAUAGAAUGUAAACUCCAAACGGAUGCCAGAACAAUGAUGAGUUAAUCUGGAAUUGCAAAUCAACUGACAACUACACGUUCAGUCAUCCAAAAGCUACAGCAGGAAAGUGAGAGGAAGUGAUAUCGACACAAUUCUGAUAUUAGCGUCGGUCUCAUCAGUCAGGAUAUGACGUCAGAGAGAAGGACAGAAUGGAAGGGAUUGUUUAACAUUGGUUGAGCCAUACAACUCUACAUGUAAUUGAUCAGUGAUGGGUGUGUGUGUUUGUGCGUGUGCGUGUUUGUUGUGUCACGUACCCUGCAAUAUACAAAUACGCUACCCUUAAUACUCAGUAUCCAGAUUGCUAAAAUAAGAGCCACAAAUCAUAGAUUACCAAUAGAAAAGGGGCGAUGGGAAAAUAUACCACGAGAAGACAGAAUUUAUAGUCACUGUAAUAAACAUGACUUAGCUGACGAAUAUCACUAUCUACUAAUAUGUCCUUUUCUGCAUAACUUGCGUAAGCAAUAUAUUCAAAAGAAGUACUUUACAAGAAUACUUUACAAGACCUAGUACGAUAACACUUGAUAUGCUACUAAAUACUGAAAGUUUAUUAGAACAAAGAAAACUAGCACAGUUUGUAAAAAAAAUCCUCAAGAUGUUUAAUUAAAUUUGUGAGUCUGUUGCGGUUAAACGUAUAGUUGACGCACGUCUGUCUCAUGCCUCGUGUCACCAUAAAUCUCCAUUUGUACCUUCAAUAUGUCAUAGCUAUGACCUUGAAGCGAAAUAAACGUUUGUUGUUGU